This 274-nucleotide transfer-messenger RNA is filed under the name Candidatus Terrybacteria bacterium RIFCSPHIGHO2_02_41_19. It matches the Rfam family "transfer-messenger RNA". From Rfam's summary of the family: Bacterial tmRNA, also known as 10Sa RNA or SsrA, is named for its dual tRNA and mRNA-like properties. Its role is to liberate the mRNA from a stalled ribosome. To accomplish this part of the tmRNA is used as a reading frame that ends in a translation stop signal. The record is from RNAcentral. Lineage: Bacteria; Candidatus Terryibacteriota.
GGGGAUGAUCGGCCUAGACAAUGAGCCCUUUUAAAUUAUGCGGGACGAGUAUUNNNNNNNNNCACUUCGGCUAAUUUCUGAUAGGCCGAAAGUGAUGUCAUUUAUCAGGAUAAAAAAUCCGAAUUCUCGGCGGAUUUUUGAAAAAUUAGAGAAUAUACACACAAAGAUUUGGCUCGUUUAAUACUUUAUGUAUGAACAAAACAAACAAGCUACUCCCGUAGAAUUAAUUUGAAAACCUUAUUGCACGGCGGUUCGAUUCCGCCCAUCUCCACCA